UGGGGAAUAUUGGACAAUGGGCGCAAGCCUGAUCCAGCAAUGCCGCGUGGGUGAAGACGGCCUGCGGGUUGUAAAGCCCUUUGGGCGGGGAGGAACGACGGCGCGCCAACACCGUGCCGUACUGACGUUACCCGCGAAACAAGCACCGGCUAACUCCGUGCCAGCAGCCGCGGUAAUACGGAGGGUGCGAGCGUUAAUCGGAAUUACUGGGCGUAAAGCGUGCGUAGGCGGAUGGGUCAGUCAGCCGUGA
RNAcentral lists this ribosomal RNA (250 nucleotides) under uncultured bacterium. Its description in RNAcentral is "partial 16S ribosomal RNA". It matches the Rfam family "Bacterial small subunit ribosomal RNA", at positions 355 to 597 of the family's 1533-position model. The record is from RNAcentral.